Molecule: transfer RNA, 93 nt
Filed under: Candidatus Woesearchaeota archaeon
Lineage: Archaea; Nanobdellati; Candidatus Woesearchaeota
Description: tRNA-Ile
Rfam family: tRNA
About the family: Transfer RNA (tRNA) molecules are approximately 80 nucleotides in length. Their secondary structure includes four short double-helical elements and three loops (D, anti-codon, and T loops).
Source: RNAcentral
GCCAAGGUGGCUGAGUCAGGUUUAAAGCGCCUGAUUGAUAGUUAGGUAAACAUCCCGCAGGAUGUUUCGCGGGUUCGAAUCCCGUCCCUGGCG